ACCGCCGCGCCUCUCCUUGCCCUAAUCUCCUCUGCGCCAACCCUAGCCGCCUCCUUUCUUCUUCCCGAGACCUCGCCGGCCACCAGGUUUAACCUAGUGCCACCGCACCUCUCCGAUUCUCUGUGCCGGCGACCGAGCCUCCCUUCCUCCCCACGGCAGAGCACCACUUCUCCCCUGCCGCGACACCGAAGCCACCACCGCUGGCUCCUCCUUUCCUGCGCGCCGACGCAGAUUGCAUGCUACUACGAGCCCUAGCCGACUCCUUCCCGACGCCUUCUCUGCCCGAAGCCGAUCACCUCUUCCUCAGCCCUACCGUCGGCCUUCUCAUUUGUUGAGCGUCGGCAACCGACCAAACUCUUCUGCCCUAGAUCGUCGUUGCACGGAGCAGCACAGACACACCACAGAUCCCUCUGCCCUAGUUGGAAUCCUCCCUUCUGUGGCCUAACUCCGAAUUAGGGAAGAAACACUGCUGCUAGGGUUUUUGGGCGGUGAUCACGUUGUUGUAUUGCCACCGAAGAGUUAUAGGGUUUGUUUUACUAUGGAGUGUUCUUGGUCCGGCAACAGCCUUCCCUAGCAGUGGGACUUUGACGCGAGACGGUAUCUCGACGAGUAUCUUGAUUACCGGAUUGGAC
This is a long non-coding RNA of Zingiber officinale, 632 nucleotides long. RefSeq lists it as uncharacterized. The record is from RefSeq and is a predicted model, not a curated record. Lineage: Eukaryota; Viridiplantae; Streptophyta; Magnoliopsida; Zingiberales; Zingiberaceae. The transcript is spliced from 3 exons.